AACUUCCAGCGGGGGCAACCCUAGGGAAAGUGCCACAGAAAAUAUACCGCCAGUGUUUUUGGUAAGGGUGAAAUGGUGAGGUAAGAGCGCACCGCAUUCCUAGUAAUGGGAAUGGCAUGGUAAACCCCACUUAGAGCAAGACCAAAUAGAAGAAACACUUAUUGGAUUUCUGCAAUGUUUCUUGGGUAGGUCGCUAGAAAAGUUUGGUAACAAACUUUCAAGAUGAAUAACUGCUAUCAAAAUCAGAUACAAAACCCGGCUUAUAAACUCUCUGACAAU
RNAcentral lists this RNase P RNA (279 nucleotides) under Alphaproteobacteria bacterium. RNAcentral describes it as "partial RNase P RNA component class A". It matches the Rfam family "Bacterial RNase P class A", at positions 80 to 367 of the family's 367-position model. Rfam says of the family: Ribonuclease P (RNase P) is a ubiquitous endoribonuclease, found in archaea, bacteria and eukarya as well as chloroplasts and mitochondria. Its best characterised activity is the generation of mature 5'-ends of tRNAs by cleaving the 5'-leader elements of precursor-tRNAs. The record is from RNAcentral. Lineage: Bacteria; Pseudomonadati; Pseudomonadota; Alphaproteobacteria.